AUUUGUAGAUUUUGCUAUUGAAAUGAAAUAGGUAGAAAUUAUAUAUAAUGUUACAAAAUUGUUAUGCUAGAAAGGUAAUAAUAUCAAAAUUGUUAAAUAAUUGACUAAAUAUCGUAGAUGUUUUGUGAGAAGAAAUAUAACCAAUAUUGUUUAAGAAAAGAUUAGGGCAGUAUAAAGUUAAAUUAUGUAAACAAUAUUUUCAAAUAAUUCUAUUCAUUUCUUAAUUUAUGUCAUCAAUGUGCAAUGCCAAAAAUCAAAAAUUAUUUGUUUAUUUUAAACUUUAUGAAGAAACCCUUGUAACAUUUUGUUCUCCCUCUCCUUCUAUUGUCCACACUUGUGCUCCUCAAAGGAUUUCCAUAAGCUUUUUUUUUAGUGCCUCCCAUGGCUUUACAAUCACAGCGGCUUUGCCGACAUGGGCUCAAUUUGUUCAUUGAUAACGCUGAUCACUCUUGCUUUCUCCUCCAACUGCAGUUUAUAAGAUAUUGAGGUGUUUGGUCAUCUCACCACAAUAUUUUGCUACUUCCAUCACAACUUAUUCUUAUUAACUUUUUACUUAUUAUAUUAUUAAAUUCUACAAUUUUUUAAGAAAAACUGUGUUAGAAAUAGUAUUAUAUAUUAAUUAAUUUUAAAAAUAUGUUGAAUGGGUGGUGAGUUCUUAUGGCAAUAACAAGAAAUGUGAUAUGUGGUGAAUGGUAAAUUGUGGUAGCAAUAGCAAAAAAU
RNAcentral lists this long non-coding RNA (720 nucleotides) under Physcomitrium patens. RNAcentral's name for it is "long non-coding RNA (PPAT_LNC004274)". Lineage: Eukaryota; Viridiplantae; Streptophyta; Bryopsida; Funariales; Funariaceae. The record is from RNAcentral.